GGUUUCUUGUAAGUUUUAAAAUAAUGAGAAAUCUGACCUGCCCAAUGAAUAUUAAGGUUAAAUGGCCGCGGUAUUUUGACCGUGCGAAGGUAGCAUAAUCAUUAGUCUUUUAAUUGUGGACUGGAAUGAAUGGUUGGACGUAAUAGAAUCUUUUUUAGUUUUAUUUAUUGAAUUUUACUUUUUAGUGAAGAGGCUAAAAUGAGGCCAAAAGACAAGAAGACCCUAUCAAGUUUUAUUAUUGAAUAUUUUUUAUUAUGAAGUGAGGUUGUAAUAUGAUUUAAUUUUACUGGGGCGGUGAAUGUAAAACUGAUUAAGAUCCAAAAUUUUUGAUUGUUUGUUUAAAUUACUGUAGGGAUAACAGCGUAAUCUUAUUUGAGAGUUCAUAUCGACAAUAAGGGUUGCGACCUCGAUGUUGGAUUAGAAUUCCUUCUUGGAGCAGAAUCUAAGAGUGGUGGUCUGUUCGACCAUUAAAAUUCUACA
Molecule: ribosomal RNA, 480 nt
Filed under: Thereuoneminae sp. MCZ IZ-103188
Lineage: Eukaryota; Metazoa; Arthropoda; Chilopoda; Scutigeromorpha; Scutigeridae
Description: partial large subunit ribosomal RNA
Rfam family: Bacterial large subunit ribosomal RNA
Source: RNAcentral